CAUCUGCUGGGGAUGUAGGUCCACGUCCUUGACCCAUGACCUUUCCUCAUUCCUGCCCCCAUCCCUCCUCAAGCCACACCCACUACAUCCCUUGAGUCCUCCAUCCCCCCUCCCCCAUCUCCCUGUCCACAGCCUCUGCCUGUCCUCUCCUUCCCUGUACCACCCCCACCCGAGGUCUUCCUCCAUCUCCUUGGGAACACAGAUCUCCUCUAGCAGGCACUCUCAGACCACAGCCUGCUGGCCCCAGCACCCGGUCUUGCUCCCAGCCUCUUCCCACCACAGCAGCCUCUUCCCUCCGGAUUCAGCUCAGGUGCUCAGAACUGCCAGGACCCAGAGGAUUCACAUGCCAGCCCCGGCUGAAGCCCAGCUCCUCAUCAACCGGUGAGCCGCCUGCCAGCUCCUGCUUUGGCUGCCGAGAGGCCUGAAGUGACUAAGACAGAGACACAGCCCCGCAGCACCACAGGGAGGCCCCAAUUACCCCAUGCGGAUGAGUUUCAUGGCCACCUCUAACUAAGGAAAGGACAUCGAUGUCAUCUGUAACUUCCGGUGCACUGGGGCACACAGCUGCAUCUCCCCAUGCUCACCUCCUGCCUCUUGCUCUGCCCAGUGUGAGGACUUAGCCUGGAUCACCUCCUCCAGGACAAGAACAACCUACCAUCAUCUGUCCGUCCAAUCUACCCACCCAUCCAUCUCUGCCUCUGGGCAUGCAUCUGUCCGUCCAUCCAUCCCUGCCUCUGUGCACGCAUCUGUCAGUCUAUCAAUCCCCGAUCCCUUCUUUGUAUCAGUGUUGAGCGCUCACAACUCCCUCAUCCUAAGAUGCUCGUUGGAUCCAUUCCCUCCUCUCACCCCAUGCCGCUCUCUGCCCUCCCUUCCCGGUCAAGUUCUCCAGCCACAGGUCUCAACUCAAUCCUCACUUCCCCCGCUCCUCUCACACCUAUCCCCACUGCGUUCUAAAUUCUUCCCCAACACGCUGGGUCUACAGGCACUAAAAAGUGCACCUUGUCCCUGGAGGACCAAACACAGGCCAAUGUAACUUACUGGGCUUGUUUUGCCCCAGCCACGGCUGACCACUUCCUCCUUCACUCUUGUUGUUGAUAACCUUUGGGCUCAGUCUUUCUCCAUCUCUGUUGAGUCCUUCUCCCCGCCACCUACCCCUUCAUGCUGGGGUUCUCUGUAGCUCUGUACCUGACUGUCAACAUUCCACCCUUUCCUCCCAGAAGCUCGCCAACCCCGCAGACUGCUGGCUCUCAGUCCUACAGCAGCUGACAAUGCACAGCAUGCGGCCCGGGGCAGGCCCUGUGCUGAGAGGUAUGGGUGAAUGGCUCAUUUCAUCGGCAAGCCCACGCCACCAGCAGGCGCCAUUCUCCUCGCAUUUCUCAGGUAAGGAACCUGAGACAAUGAGGUUAAGGAAGUUGUUCAUUACAAGUGGAAGAACCCUGACUUACUUGAAUUCAACUUUGAAGCCCACAUUCUCUUUUUGUGUGUGUGUGACAGGGUCUCACUUUGUCACCCAAGCCGCAGUACAGUGGUGUGAACACAGCUCAUUGCAGUCUCAACCUCCCUGACUCAAGCAAUCCUCCUGUUUUAGCCUCCUGAGUAGCUGGGACUACAAGCUUGUGCCACCACGCCUGGCCGAAGCCCAUAUCUGAAUGUUGAGGCACACAGCCUCCCCAGCCUCUGCCUCACCAAGCCCUCCGCAGGGUCUAGGCACCCUCCCUGGCUGCCCCCUUCCCCCCUCACUCAGGCUCCCCAGCAGACAAUGUAGUUAAUAUGGGGCUACAAAGAGCUGGGCCUGGCCUCAGGCGGGACUGCCUCCCCGGCAUUGCCAUCCCUGCUGCAGAGCUCCCAUGCGAUCAGGCUCCUCUCCAGCUGAGACCACAUCCUCACUGAGCUUCUAGGCUGUUCCUGCUUCCCCCUCAGCACAUGGUCCCUGAGAAACUGCUUGCACAAGAAUUUCCCUCUGGAGCUCCACCUCUGGGGAACCUGACCUCAGACAGAGGAGACCAAGCUCUAGGGCAGGAUCCUCAGCUUCCCUUGCCCCACCUGUGUGGCCAGCCAGGAGCGCUGCAGACUCCCGCCCAGACCUGCACUCGUGCCUGCCUUCUGCCAGCCUGCUCCUCCCCCUCCCACUCUCCCACCUGCAUUAGCAGCACCAGGAUGCCAUCCUCCAAGGGCCCCAGCCUCACGUCCCCUGUCACCAGGAUCCAGCCAGAUCUCAAUCCUUGCCCAUCCUAACUGAGCCUCCCUCAGAUCCGUCCACUGCCCCCUUCCCCAGGACCACACUCCACCAUCUCUUGCCUGGACCCUGCGAGAACUUCCUGCCUCCCUGCCUCUACCCUACCCCCUGCCCCCCGCUGAAGCUGAUGAUAGUUCCAGAAAGCAAAACCCCUUAAUGUUUCCCCCAUUGAACAAAGUCUUCCACAUGCUUUCAAGGUCUUUGGUGAUCCGAGACCUGCCUCCUUCUGCAGUCUCCCUACUGAUGCCAUAGUUUUGGCUUCUGGCCUCAGAUGUCCUGGGUCAUUUCCCUGCUCACUGUCUCCUCAUAUCCCUGACUCAGCUGGCUCGCUGCUUUCCCGUUGGAUCUCAUGUAUCAUGAGAUACAUGAUAUAUAUCAUGUAUAUAUAUAUAUUUGAGAUGGAGUUUUGCUCUUGUUGCCCAGGCUGGAGUGCAGUGGCACAAUGUCAGCUCACUGCAACCUCUGCCUCCAGGAUUCAAUCGAUUCUCCUGCCUCAGCCUCUCCAGUAGCUGGGAUUACAGGUGUGCACCACCAUACCCGGCUAAUUUUUUGUAUUUUUAGUAGAGACGAGGUUUCAACAUGUUGGUCAGGCUGGUCUCAAACUCCUGACCUCAGGUGAUCCACCCGCCUGUGCCUCCCAAAGUGCUGGGAUUACAGGUGAAAGCAAUCGCGCCCAGCCUAUAUUCAUAUAUAUAUUGAGGGAAUGAAGUCACCUCUUCUAGGAAGCCUCCCCUUGCCCAAGAGCUUUGGGCCAACAUCUCUGAGCCCCUGCAGGCUUGAGGACUUCCUCUGCUGGGAUUCUGUGGAGCUGUGUCACCGUGGGUGUUGUCAUUGCCAGUCACUCUUCUGACUCAGCUGCCAGGUAAAGAUUUGUUUUCGUCUCUGUAAGCCCCCAGCUCUGGCUUGGAGCUAGGCACCUGCUAGACCUCUGUGAUGGUUCAUUUUGUGUGUCAAUUUGGCCUGGCUGUUGUGCCCAGCUGGUUGGUGAAACACCAGUCUAGAUACUAUGGUGAAGGUGCUUUGUAGAUGCAAUUAACAUCUACCAUCAGUUGACCUUAAGUAGCUCAUGCUCCAUAGUGUGGCUGGGGGUGGGGUGGGGGCAGAGCCAAUCAGUUCAAGGCCUUGAGAGCUAAAGCUAAGGUUUCCUGAAGAGGAAGGAAUUCUGCCUCCAGACUGUCACUGAAAUCCUGAGUUGCCAGCCUGCCAUACAAAUUUUGGACUUGCUAGCCCCUGCAAUCCCGUGAGCCAAUUCCUUAAAAUAAAUCUCUUUACACACACACACGCACACACACACCCCACACACACACAUACACAUGCACACACAUCCCACACACACAUGCACACACACACACAUCCUAUUGGUUUUGUUUCUCUGGAGACCCCCCAGGUGAUAAAGCCUCCAUCGAUAAAUAUAAUUUAAACCUAA
Molecule: non-coding RNA, 3662 nt
Filed under: Pongo abelii (Sumatran orangutan)
Lineage: Eukaryota; Metazoa; Chordata; Mammalia; Primates; Hominidae
Source: RNAcentral